RNAcentral lists this ribosomal RNA (421 nucleotides) under uncultured bacterium. RNAcentral describes it as "partial 16S ribosomal RNA". It matches the Rfam family "Bacterial small subunit ribosomal RNA", at positions 361 to 774 of the family's 1533-position model. The record is from RNAcentral.
AUCUUCCACAAUGGGUGAAAGCCUGAUGUAGCAACGCCUCGUGUGUGAAGUAGGAUCUCCGAUCGUAAAACCCUGUUGUAAGGGAAGAACAAGUACAGUAGUAACUGGCUGUACUUCGACGGUACCUUAUCAUAAAUCCACGGCUAACUAAGUGCUAGCAGUCGCGGUAAUACGUAGGUGGCAAGCGUUGCCCGGAAUUAUUGGGCGUAAAGCGCGCGCAGGAGGUCCUUUAAGUCUGAUGUGAAAGCCCACGGCUCAACCGUGGAGGGUCAUUGGAAACUGGGGGAAUUGAGUGCAGAAGAGGAAAGUGGAAUUCCAAGUGUAGCGGUGAAAUGCGUAGAGAUUUGGAGGAACACCAGUGGCGAAGGCGACUUUCUGGUCUGUAACUGACGCUGAGGCGCGAAAGCGUGGGGAGCAAACA